GGGUUGUGAGGUUAAGCGACUAAGCGUACACGGUGGAUGCCCUGGCAGUCAGAGGCGAUGAAGGACGUGCUAAUCUGCGAUAAGCGCCGGUAAGGUGAUAUGAACCGUUAUAACCGGCGAUUUCCGAAUGGGGAAACCCAGUGUGACUCGUCACACUAUCAUUAACUGAAUCCAUAGGUUAAUGAGGCGAACCGGGGGAACUGAAACAUCUAAGUACCCCGAGGAAAAGAAAUCAACCGAGAUUCCCCCAGUAGCGGCGAGCGAACGGGGAGGAGCCCAGAGCCUGAAUCAGCAUGUGUGUUAGUGGAAGCGUCUGGAAAGGCGCGCGAUACAGGGUGACAGCCCCGUACACAAAAGCGCAUGUGCUGUGAGCUCGAUGAGUAGGGCGGGACACGUGGUAUCCUGUCUGAAUAUGGGGGGACCAUCCUCCAAGGCUAAAUACUCCUGACUGACCGAUAGUGAACCAGUACCGUGAGGGAAAGGCGAAAAGAACCCCGGCGAGGGGAGUGAAAAAGAACCUGAAACCGUGUACGUACAAGCAGUGGGAGCACAGGUUUACCUGUGUGACUGCGUACCUUUUGUAUAAUGGGUCAGCGACUUAUAUUCUGUAGCAAGGUUAACCGAAUAGGGGAGCCGGAGGGAAACCGAGUCUUAAUUGGGCGUUAAGUUGCAGGGUAUAGACCCGAAACCCGGUGAUCUAGCCAUGGGCAGGUUGAAGGUUGGGUAACACUAACUGGAGGACCGAACCGACUAAUGUUGAAAAAUUAGCGGAUGACCUGUGGCUGGGGGUGAAAGGCCAAUCAAACCGGGAGAUAGCUGGUUCUCCCCGAAAGCUAUUUAGGUAGCGCCUCGUGAAUUCAUCUCCGGGGGUAGAGCACUGUUUCGGCUAGGGGGCCAUCCCGGCUUACCAACCCGAUGCAAACUGCGAAUACCGGAGAAUGUUAUCACGGGAGACACACGGCGGGUGCUAACGUCCGUCGUGAAGAGGGAAACAACCCAGACCGCCAGCUAAGGUCCCAAAGUCAUGGUUAAGUGGGAAACGAUGUGGGAAGGCCCAGACAGCCAGGAUGUUGGCUUAGAAGCAGCCAUCAUUUAAAGAAAGCGUAAUAGCUCACUGGUCGAGUCGGCCUGCGCGGAAGAUGUAACGGGGCUAAACCAUGCACCGAAGCUGCGGCAGCGACACUGUGUGUUGUUGGGUAGGGGAGCGUUCUGUAAGCCUGCGAAGGUGGCCUGUGAGGGUUGCUGGAGGUAUCAGAAGUGCGAAUGCUGACAUAAGUAACGAUAAAGCGGGUGAAAAGCCCGCUCGCCGGAAGACCAAGGGUUCCUGUCCAACGUUAAUCGGGGCAGGGUGAGUCGACCCCUAAGGCGAGGCCGAAAGGCGUAGUCGAUGGGAAACGGGUUAAUAUUCCCGUACUUGGUGUUACUGCGAAGGGGGGACGGAGAAGGCUAUGUUGGCCGGGCGACGGUUGUCCCGGUUUAAGCGUGUAGGUGUGUGUUCCAGGUAAAUCCGGUUCACUUUAACACUGAGGCGUGACGACGAGGCACUACGGUGCUGAAGCAACAAAUGCCCUGCUUCCAGGAAAAGCCUCUAAGCAUCAGGUAACAUCAAAUCGUACCCCAAACCGACACAGGUGGUCAGGUAGAGAAUACCAAGGCGCUUGAGAGAACUCGGGUGAAGGAACUAGGCAAAAUGGUGCCGUAACUUCGGGAGAAGGCACGCUGACAUGUAGGUGAAGUGAUUUACUCAUGGAGCUGAAGUCAGUCGAAGAUACCAGCUGGCUGCAACUGUUUAUUAAAAACACAGCACUGUGCAAACACGAAAGUGGACGUAUACGGUGUGACGCCUGCCCGGUGCCGGAAGGUUAAUUGAUGGGGUCAGCGCAAGCGAAGCUCCUGAUCGAAGCCCCGGUAAACGGCGGCCGUAACUAUAACGGUCCUAAGGUAGCGAAAUUCCUUGUCGGGUAAGUUCCGACCUGCACGAAUGGCGUAAUGAUGGCCAGGCUGUCUCCACCCGAGACUCAGUGAAAUUGAACUCGCUGUGAAGAUGCAGUGUACCCGCGGCAAGACGGAAAGACCCCGUGAACCUUUACUAUAGCUUGACACUGAACAUUGAGCCUUGAUGUGUAGGAUAGGUGGGAGGCUUUGAAGCGUGGACGCCAGUCUGCAUGGAGCCGACCUUGAAAUACCACCCUUUAAUGUUUGAUGUUCUAACGUGGACCCGUAAUCCGGGUUGCGGACAGUGUCUGGUGGGUAGUUUGACUGGGGCGGUCUCCUCCUAAAGAGUAACGGAGGAGCACGAAGGUUGGCUAAUCCUGGUCGGACAUCAGGAGGUUAGUGCAAUGGCAUAAGCCAGCUUGACUGCGAGCGUGACGGCGCGAGCAGGUGCGAAAGCAGGUCAUAGUGAUCCGGUGGUUCUGAAUGGAAGGGCCAUCGCUCAACGGAUAAAAGGUACUCCGGGGAUAACAGGCUGAUACCGCCCAAGAGUUCAUAUCGACGGCGGUGUUUGGCACCUCGAUGUCGGCUCAUCACAUCCUGGGGCUGAAGUAGGUCCCAAGGGUAUGGCUGUUCGCCAUUUAAAGUGGUACGCGAGCUGGGUUUAGAACGUCGUGAGACAGUUCGGUCCCUAUCUGCCGUGGGCGCUGGAGAACUGAGGGGGGCUGCUCCUAGUACGAGAGGACCGGAGUGGACGCAUCACUGGUGUUCGGGUUGUCAUGCCAAUGGCACUGCCCGGUAGCUAAAUGCGGAAGAGAUAAGUGCUGAAAGCAUCUAAGCACGAAACUUGCCCCGAGAUGAGUUCUCCCUGAGACUUAAAGUCUCCUGAAGGAACGUUGAAGACGACGACGUUGAUAGGCCGGGUGUGUAAGCGCAGCGAUGCGUUGAGCUAACCGGUACUAAUGAACCGUGAGGCUUAACCUUACAACGCCGAAG
RNAcentral lists this ribosomal RNA (2928 nucleotides) under Salmonella enterica subsp. enterica serovar Indiana. Its description in RNAcentral is "23S ribosomal RNA". It matches the Rfam family "Bacterial large subunit ribosomal RNA". The record is from RNAcentral. Lineage: Bacteria; Pseudomonadati; Pseudomonadota; Gammaproteobacteria; Enterobacterales; Enterobacteriaceae.